CUCGAGGCCAGAUCUUUCCGGUUGAUCCUGCCGGACCUGACUGCUAUCGGAUUGAUACUAAGCCAUGCGAGUCAUUGUAGUAAUACAAGGCAGACGGCUCAGUAACACGUAGUCAAUCUACCCUAUGGACGGGGAUAACCUCGGGAAACUGAGAAUAAUACCCGAUCGAUCAUUAUGCCUGGAAUGGUUUAUGGUCUAAAUGAUUUAUCGCCAUAGGAUGGGACUGCGGUCUAUCAGCUUGUUGGUGAGGUAAUGGCCCACCAAGGCUAUAACAGAUACGGGCUCUGAGAGGAGAGGCCCGGAGAUGGGUACUGAGACACGGACCCAGGCCCUAUGGGGCGCAGCAGGCGAGAAAACUUUGCAAUGUGCGAAAGCACGACAAGGUUAAUCCGAGUGGUUCCUGCUAAAGGAAUCUUUUGUCAGUCCUAAAAACACUGACGAAUAAGGGGUGGGCAAGUUCUGGUGUCAGCCGCCGCGGUAAAACCAGCACCUCAAGUGGUCAGGAGGAUUAUUGGGCCUAAAGCAUCCGUAGCCGGCCGUGUAAGUUUUCGGUUAAA
This 557-nucleotide ribosomal RNA is filed under the name uncultured archaeon. Its description in RNAcentral is "bacterial SSU rRNA". It matches the Rfam family "Archaeal small subunit ribosomal RNA", at positions 1 to 549 of the family's 1478-position model. The record is from RNAcentral.